AAGUGUAAGUCUCUAAAACCGAUUGCCAUGGUGUGACAAUGUUAUGCCUCUAAAGCUUGUUGCCAUGGUGUGCCAAUUGUAAGUCUCUAAAACUGACUGCCAUGGUGUGCCAAUUUUAUGCACCUAAAGUUGCCAUGAUGUGCCAAGUUUAUACAUCUAAAACGGAUUGCCAUGAUGUACCAGUUUUAUGCAUCUAAAGCUGACUGCCAUGGUAUGCCAAUUGUAUGCAUCUAAAGCGGAUUGCCAUGGUG
Non-coding RNA from Pelobates cultripes (western spadefoot toad), 251 nucleotides. NCBI's taxonomy places the organism in Eukaryota, Metazoa, Chordata, Amphibia, Anura, Pelobatidae. The record is from the annotation of a GenBank genome assembly.